This 449-nucleotide ribosomal RNA is filed under the name uncultured bacterium. RNAcentral's name for it is "partial 16S ribosomal RNA". It matches the Rfam family "Bacterial small subunit ribosomal RNA", at positions 29 to 523 of the family's 1533-position model. The record is from RNAcentral.
AGCGAACGCUGCCGGCAGGCCUAACACAUGCAAGUCGAACGGACCCUUCGGGGUUAGUGGCGGACGGGUGAGUAACACGUGGGAACGUGCCUUUAGGUUCGGAAUAGCUCCUGGAAACGGGUGGUAAUGCCGAAUGUGCCCUUCGGGGGAAAGAUUUAUCGCCUUUAGAGCGGCCCGCGUCUGAUUAGCUAGUUGGUGAGGUAAUGGCUCACCAAGGCGACGAUCAGUAGCUGGUCUGAGAGGAUGACCAGCCACAUUGGGACUGAGACACGGCUCAAACUCCUACGGGAGGCAGCAGUGGGGAAGCUUGCGCAAUGGGCGAAAGCCUGACGCAGCCAUGCCGCGUGGAUGAUGAAGGUCUUAGGAUUGUAAAAUCCUUUCACCGGUGAAGAUAAUGACUGUAGCCGGAGAAGAAGCCCCGGCUAACUUCGUGCCAGCCGCCGCGGUAA